This 1456-nucleotide ribosomal RNA is filed under the name uncultured Parabacteroides sp. RNAcentral describes it as "bacterial SSU rRNA". It matches the Rfam family "Bacterial small subunit ribosomal RNA". The record is from RNAcentral. Lineage: Bacteria; Pseudomonadati; Bacteroidota; Bacteroidia; Bacteroidales; Tannerellaceae.
GAUCCUGGCUCAGGAUGAACGCUAGCGACAGGCUUAACACAUGCAAGUCGAGGGGCAGCGCGGGUAGCAAUACCCGCUGGCGACCGGCGCACGGGUGAGUAACGCGUAUGCAACUUGCCUAUCAGAGGGGGAUAACCCGGCGAAAGUCGGACUAAUACCGCAUGAAGCAGGGGCCCCGCAUGGGGAUAUUUGCUAAUCAUCGCUGAUAGAUAGGCAUGCGUUCCAUUAGGCAGUUGGCGGGGUAACGGCCCACCAAACCGACGAGGGGUUCUGAGAGGAAGGUCCCCCACAUUGGUACUGAGACACGGACCAAACUCCUACGGGAGGCAGCAGUGAGGGGUCAAUGGGCGUAAGCCUGAACCAGCCAAGUGCGUGAGGGAUGAAGGUUCUAUGGAUCGUAAACCUCUUUUAUAAGGGAAUAAAGUGCGGGACGUGUCCCGUUUUGUAUGUACCUUAUGAAUAAGGAUCGGCUAACUCCGUGCCAGCAGCCGCGGUAAUACGGAGGAUCCGAGCGUUAUCCGGAUUUAUUGGGUUUAAAGGGUGCGUAGGCGGCCUUUUAAGUCAGCGGUGAAAGUCUGUGGCUCAACCAUAGAAUUGCCGUUGAAACUGGGGGGCUUGAGUAUGUUUGAGGCAGGCGGAAUGCGUGGUGUAGCGGUGAAAUGCUUAGAUAUCACGCAGAACCCCGAUUGCGAAGGCAGCCUGCCAAGCCAUGACUGACGCUGAUGCACGAAAGCGUGGGGAUCAAACAGGAUUAGAUACCCUGGUAGUCCACGCAGUAAACGAUGAUCACUAGCUGUUUGCGAUACAGUGUAAGCGGCACAGCGAAAGCGUUAAGUGAUCCACCUGGGGAGUACGCCGGCAACGGUGAAACUCAAAGGAAUUGACGGGGGCCCGCACAAGCGGAGGAACAUGUGGUUUAAUUCGAUGAUACGCGAGGAACCUUACCCGGGUUUGAACGCAUUCGGACCGAGGUGGAAACACCUUUUCUAGCAAUAGCCGUUUGCGAGGUGCUGCAUGGUUGUCGUCAGCUCGUGCCGUGAGGUGUCGGCUUAAGUGCCAUAACGAGCGCAACCCUUGCCACUAGUUACUAACAGGUAAAGCUGAGGACUCUGGUGGGACUGCCAGCGUAAGCUGCGAGGAAGGCGGGGAUGACGUCAAAUCAGCACGGCCCUUACAUCCGGGGCGACACACGUGUUACAAUGGCGUGGACAAAGGGAAGCCACCUGGCGACAGGGAGCGAAUCCCCAAACCACGUCUCAGUUCGGAUCGGAGUCUGCAACCCGACUCCGUGAAGCUGGAUUCGCUAGUAAUCGCGCAUCAGCCAUGGCGCGGUGAAUACGUUCCCGGGCCUUGUACACACCGCCCGUCAAGCCAUGGGAGCCGGGGGUACCUGAAGUCCGUAACCGCGAGGAUCGGCCUAGGGUAAAACUGGUGACUGGGGCUAAGUCGUAACAAG